CACCUCAUCCGGAGACCUCCACACGGAGGCUUUGAAAACUCCUUCCAAGAAGACAAUGGCUCUGGGUGGUGGGGGAGAGGUGUUCCAGCAGCUGACCUCAAGGCCUGUGGCCGUCCCUGGAUGAUUUUGUCAGGUUUUGGUGGAAAGCGCAGCGGGCAGGGGAGGCCCUGGCUUCUCAUUAGCCUAUGGCCACCCCGACUGGCCGGCAGCUCAGGCCAGGCUGUGUUUGCCCCAUGCAGCGGCAGUCUGGGGUGGCCGGGCCUUGCUCACUCGGGGACUCGGGGUGCCUUGGCCUCAGGGUGUGGGACUGAACACGCGGAAUGGCUGUGGAGUUCCACGACUCAGGCACAGGGCCCUGACCUCAUGUGCCCAACAUCUCUGACCCCACCAGAAGUGGUACGCAGGGAGCCUGGGGCUUGGCGCUCCCCACUGGCCGCAGCCAACGUCCACAAGAGGAAGCUGUGGGCCUCACCUGGCAAUCUUGUCCGUGCAGGACAUGGUGACCAGCUGCUCCCCCAGCAGGACGCCGUCCCAGGUCUGCACUGCACUGGGGCCACGCACGGGGACUGUCCCUUCCCCGGACUCGAUCUUGGUGCGCAGGUGCCCGCGGAACUUCCUGACGAGGUGUUUGCUGCUGUGCACUAGGAGAGAAGAGGACGGGGAGGGGUGAGAAGAGGGAAGCCGCCUUGGUUUUGGGAGGUGGGAGAGGAGGAAGGACUGCAACAGAGGUCCAAGGGCCCCUCGCCAUGGCCGGGCAUUUGGCACGAGGAAGGGGCGUCACAAGUUAGCGCUGUGUGGGGGUGGGCUCCAGAGACACACCAUCCCGCCUGGGCUGGGCCAACUUCCCAGUCAAGGGUCAGGGAGUAAAAACCCAGGCUUCAUGAGCCAGACUCUCUUUUCACCAACACCUGCCGCUGCUGCGUAAACGCAGCCACGGCCUGGACCGUGCUCAGGCUAGUGAGGGGCCACUGCGUCCUCAAUGCUUCAUUUUCCUUCGUGGACUUGAAUACGCAGUUGGAUGUGUCGUUUUCAGGUGUCGUGAAAUAUCAUUUUUCUCACUUUUCAGCCAUUAAAAAUGUAAAUAUUUAUGCUUAGCUGGAGGGCUGUGCAGAAGUAGGCGGUGAGUGGGAC
This 1131-nucleotide long non-coding RNA is filed under the name Macaca fascicularis (crab-eating macaque). RNAcentral's name for it is "lncRNA (ENSMFAG00000059576.1)". The record is from RNAcentral. Lineage: Eukaryota; Metazoa; Chordata; Mammalia; Primates; Cercopithecidae.